RNAcentral lists this ribosomal RNA (497 nucleotides) under uncultured bacterium. RNAcentral describes it as "partial 16S ribosomal RNA". It matches the Rfam family "Bacterial small subunit ribosomal RNA", at positions 28 to 507 of the family's 1533-position model. The record is from RNAcentral.
GAUGAACGCUGGCGGCGUGCCUAAUACAUGCAAGUCGAGCGAACGGACGAGAAGCUUGCUCCUCUGAUGUUAGCGGCGGACGGGUGAGUAAGACGUGGAUAACCUACUUAUAAGACUGGGAUAACUUCGGGGAACAGGAGCUAAUAACGGAUAAUAUUUUGAACCGCAUGGUUCAAAAGUGAAAGACGGUUUUGCUGUCACAUAUAGCUGGAUCCGCGCUGCAUUAGCUAGUUGGUAAGGUAACGGCUUACCAAGGCAACGAUGCAUAGCCGACCUGAGAGGGUGAUCGGCCACACUGGAACUGAGACACGGUCCAGACUCCUACGGGAGGCAGCAGUAGGGAAUCUUCCGCAAUGGGCGAAAGCCUGACGGAGCAACACCGCGUGAGUGAAGAAGGUCUUCGGAUCGUAAAACUCUGUUAUUAGGGAAGAACAUAAGUAGAAGUAACUGUGCCUAUUUUGACGGUACCUAAUCAAAAAGCCCCGGCUAACUACGUG